UACGUGGGGUUCAAGCGUUAAUCGGAAUUACUGGGCGUAAAGCGUGCGCAGGCGGUUUUGUAAGUCUGAUGUGAAAUCCCCGGGCUCAACCUGGGAAUUGCAUUGGAGACUGCAAGGCUAGAAUCUGGCAGAGGGGGGUAGAAUUCCACGUGUAGCAGUGAAAUGCGUAGAGAUGUGGAGGAACACCGAUGGCGAAGGCAGCCCCCUGGGUCAAGAUUGACGCUCAUGCACGAAAGCGUGGGGAGCAAACAGG
This 253-nucleotide ribosomal RNA is filed under the name uncultured bacterium. RNAcentral's name for it is "partial 16S ribosomal RNA". It matches the Rfam family "Bacterial small subunit ribosomal RNA", at positions 524 to 776 of the family's 1533-position model. The record is from RNAcentral.